RNAcentral lists this ribosomal RNA (497 nucleotides) under uncultured bacterium. RNAcentral describes it as "partial 16S ribosomal RNA". It matches the Rfam family "Bacterial small subunit ribosomal RNA", at positions 28 to 507 of the family's 1533-position model. The record is from RNAcentral.
GAUGAACGCUGGCGGCGUGCCUAAUACAUGCAAGUCGAGCGAACAGACGAGGAGCUUGCUCCUCUGACGUUAGCGGCGGACGGGUGAGUAACACGUGGAUAACCUACCUAUAAGACUGGGAUAACUUCGGGAAACCGGAGCUAAUACCGGAUAAUAUAUUGAACCGCAUGGUUCAAUAGUGAAAGACGGUUUUGCUGUCACUUAUAGAUGGAUCCGCGCCGCAUUAGCUAGUUGGUAAGGUAACGGCUUACCAAGGCAACGAUGCGUAGCCGAGCUGAGAGGGGGAUAGGCCACACGGGAACCGAGACACGGUCAAGGCGCCUACGGGAGGCAGCAGUAGGGAAUCUGCCGCAAUGGGCGAAAGCUUGACGGAGCAGCGCCGCGUGAGUGAUGAAGAUCUUCGGAUCGUAAAACUCUGUUAUUAGGGAAGAACAAAUGUGUAAGUAACUGUGCACGUCUUGACGGUACCUAAUCAGAAAGCAACGGCUAACUACGUG